This 464-nucleotide ribosomal RNA is filed under the name uncultured Comamonadaceae bacterium. RNAcentral describes it as "bacterial SSU rRNA". It matches the Rfam family "Bacterial small subunit ribosomal RNA", at positions 916 to 1381 of the family's 1533-position model. The record is from RNAcentral. Lineage: Bacteria; Pseudomonadati; Pseudomonadota; Betaproteobacteria; Burkholderiales; Comamonadaceae.
GACGGGACCCGCACAAGCGUGGAUGAUGUGGUUUAAUUCGAUGCAACGCGAAAAACCUUACCCACCUUUGACAUGUACGGAAUCCUUUAGAGAUAGAGGAGUGCUCGAAAGAGAGCCGUAACACAGGUGCUGCAUGGCUGUCGUCAGCUCGUGUCGUGAGAUGUUGGGUUAAGUCCCGCAACGAGCGCAACCCUUGCCAUUAGUUGCUACGAAAGGGCACUCUAAUGGGGCUGCCGGUGACAAACCGGAGGAAGGUGGGGAUGACGUCAAGUCCUCAUGGCCCUUAUAGGUGGGGCUACACACGUCAUACAAUGGCUGGUACAGAGGGUUGCCAACCCGCGAGGGGGAGCCAAUCCCAUAAAGCCAGUCGUAGUCCGGAUCGCAGUCUGCAACUCGACUGCGUGAAGUCGGAAUCGCUAGUAAUCGCGGAUCAGAAUGUCGCGGUGAAUACGUUCCCGGGUCUU